UACGAAGGGGGCUAGCGUUAUUCGGAAUUAUUGGGCGUAAAGCGCACGUAGGCGGAUUUGUAAGUCAGGGGUGAAAUCCCGGGGCUCAACCUCGGAACUGCCUUUGAUACUGCGAGUCUUGAGUCCGAUAGAGGUGGGUGGAAUUCCUAGUGUAGAGGUGAAAUUCGUAGAUAUUAGGAGGAACACCGGUGGCGAAGGCGGCUAUCUGGCCAGUAACCGACGCUGAGGCGCGAAAGCACGGGGAUCAAACAGG
Molecule: ribosomal RNA, 253 nt
Filed under: uncultured bacterium
Lineage: Bacteria
Description: partial 16S ribosomal RNA
Rfam family: Bacterial small subunit ribosomal RNA
Source: RNAcentral